UAAUUAUCAUUUUUCUUCGUA
This 21-nucleotide non-coding RNA is filed under the name Caenorhabditis elegans. Lineage: Eukaryota; Metazoa; Nematoda; Chromadorea; Rhabditida; Rhabditidae. The record is from RNAcentral.